UACGUAGGGUGCAAGCGUUAAUCGGAAUUACUGGGCGUAAAGCGUGCGCAGGCGGUUAUGCAAGACAGAGGUGAAAUCCCCGGGCUCAACCUGGGAACUGCAUUUGUGACUGUAUAGCUAGAGUACGGCAGAGGGGGAUGGAAUUCCGCGUGUAGCAGUGAAAUGCGUAGAUAUGCGGAGGAACACCGAUGGCGAAGGCAAUCCCCUGGGCCUGUACUGACGCUCAUGCACGAAAGCGUGGGGAGCAAACAGG
RNAcentral lists this ribosomal RNA (253 nucleotides) under uncultured bacterium. Its description in RNAcentral is "partial 16S ribosomal RNA". It matches the Rfam family "Bacterial small subunit ribosomal RNA", at positions 524 to 776 of the family's 1533-position model. The record is from RNAcentral.